UCGAUGUGUCUGAUUUUAGGGUUCACUUGAAUUGCCUGUAUCAAUUAAUUAUUGCCUCCCAUCUUAUGGUUUAUUUGAACCAUUUCAAAUUCCAAUAAUCUCGAGAAUGAAGUUGGCCCAUUUCUCCUUUUUAUUUGUAUUUUCCCUUUGAAUAUCAGUAUUUUAAUCUUCACGAUUUUCCUCUCUUCAUUAGCUCUCAGGUGCAAUAUCUAUAUUUUCUCAUUGAUAUUCAGUUUAAGGCUUGAGUCUUGUAGCUGCUUGCAAUAAUCUUGUGAAAAAGGUGUUCACUUGAAAAACUUUUGAAGGCUUGGGGAUUGUCCCCUCUACAAUUCUAGUACAUAGUACAUUAUGUUGUUCUUGUCAAACAUCAUUACUCUCUGGUUGAUGGUGCAGUUCAGCUUGGGACUUGGUUCAAAUUUUAGCAUAAUUUUUUUAACCUGAGUUCAGCUCCUUAUUUUGCAUGUUUCCACCAGUAGGCAAGCCCCUUACAUAAUUUGAUAUAUGGACUAUGCACCUUUUAUGUUCUCUUUGAUUGAAUAGUGAUUAUCAAGUUUGGCCGGUGGUGUACUUCCUUUCGCAAUAGCUUGAAACUAAUGACAUUAGGGUGUGAAAUUCUCUGCUCAGGUACAAUUUAUGUUCUCUUUUGUAGAUGUGCUCCUCUAUUUAAUUCUUGUUUGUUUGUUGAAUCGCCAUUACCAGCAUUUGCCCCUGAAAUUUCAUCGAUUUUACAUAAAUGGAAUCCUCCAAAUACACGUACAUGGCAAAGUGGACUGAGCCAUUGACCGAAUUGUUUGUAAGUCUGAUGGUAGAUGAGGUAAAAAAUGGAAAUCGCACAUCAUGUACCUACAACAGAGUAGGGUGGAUUAACAUUGAAAAAGAAUUCAAUGAACAAACAAGACUUCACUUUAGUCAACCACAGUUCAAGAACAAGGCACAGAAACUGAAGAGACAAUAUGGUAGUUUUAAGAAGUUGCUUUCAACAACGGGAUUUGGAUAGGACGAUGACAGCAAGAGGGUUGUUGUGAACGAUGAAACUGUUUGAGCAAAUCACAUUAAGGCUAAUACUAAAUGGGCCAAGUUCAGGAAGAACGGAUUUCCUUUGUAUUCACAGCUUUGUGUUGUGUUUGGGGAUACAUACGCCACUGGGGAGUUUGCAAUAGGAAAUGCGCAAGCGUGGCACCGUCGGAGGGUACAGGUGACAGUGGUGGUGGUGGUGACAAUGAUGUUCAUGUCAACCUAAGCGAACCUGAACUGUUUUUCGAAACCCAAGCUGAUGUGGAACAAUUUAACGUGUCGGUGAGCCCACAUCCAAAAAGUCACACGUUGGAUAGGACUCCAAAUGCCAAGAGGAGGAGAAAGAGCAAUUCGCAUUCAUUUGACGCGACCUGCAAAGCCAUUCAAGAGAUGAUCAAAGCUAAGACGGUUCAAAUAUCAAGUGCCUCCGUCACCUCAUAGUCCUUAAUACCUGUGGACCCUUACUUUAUAGCAACCGUGGGUGCUGUCCUAAAUGCCAUGCAUGACUUGGACAAGGUUCUUUACAUCAAAGCUAUGAAACAUGCUGUCAUUAAUGCCUCUUGGAGAGAGGGCUUCCUGACAUGUCUUCCCGAAAUGAGAGUUGCCUUUAUUGAGGCUAUGGAUGAGUAGUUGGGGGCUCUUGAGUAGUUGUUGGGCUAUAGUAUGCCGUUUUAUGUUUGAGUUCAUUUCGGCUUCACUUAUGUAUUUCAGACAUUGACUUGUCUUUAUGACUAUGCGUUUGUGAUGAUGUUGAGACUUUGCUUUAAUGUGAUUGAAUUCCAUAA
Long non-coding RNA from Syzygium oleosum, 1799 nucleotides. RefSeq lists it as uncharacterized. The transcript is spliced from 2 exons. The record is from RefSeq and is a predicted model, not a curated record. Lineage: Eukaryota; Viridiplantae; Streptophyta; Magnoliopsida; Myrtales; Myrtaceae.